Molecule: ribosomal RNA, 496 nt
Filed under: uncultured bacterium
Lineage: Bacteria
Description: partial 16S ribosomal RNA
Rfam family: Bacterial small subunit ribosomal RNA
Source: RNAcentral
AUGAACGCUGGCGGCGUGCCUAAUACCUGCACGUCGAGCGAACAGACGAGGAGCUUGCUCCUCUGACGUUAGCGGCGGACGGGUGAGUAACACGUGGAUAACCUACCUAUAAGACUGGGAUAACUUCGGGAAACCGGAGCUAAUACCGGAUAAUAUAUUGAACCGCAUGGUUCAAUAGUGAAAGACGGUUUUGCUGUCACUUAUAGAUGGAUCCGCGCCGCAUUAGCUAGUUGGUAAGGUAACGGCUUACCAAGGCGACGAUGCGUAGCCGACCUGAGAGGGUGAUCGGCCACACUGGAACUGAGACACGGUCCAGACUCCUACGGGAGGCAGCAGUAGGGAAUCUUCCGCAAUGGGCGAAAGCCUGACGGAGCAACGCCGCGUGAGUGAUGAAGGUCUUCGGAUCGUAAAACUCUGUUAUUAGGGAAGAACAAAUAUGUAAGUAACUAUGCACGUCUUGACGGUACCUAAUCAGAAAGCCACGGCUAACUACGUG